RNAcentral lists this ribosomal RNA (380 nucleotides) under uncultured eukaryote. RNAcentral describes it as "partial 18S ribosomal RNA". It matches the Rfam family "Eukaryotic small subunit ribosomal RNA", at positions 592 to 976 of the family's 1831-position model. The record is from RNAcentral.
CAAUAGCGUAUAUUAAAGUUGUUGCAGUUAAAAAGCUCGUAGUUGGAUUUGUGGCGUACGGUGUGUUCCGGGCACUUGUUGUCUGAGUAACCUGCUGUUGCCAUCCUUGGGUGGAACCUGUGUGGCAUUAGGUUGUCGUGCAGGGGAUGCCCAUCAUUUACUGUGAAAAAAUUAGAGUGUUCAACGCAGGCUUAUGCCGUUGAAUAUAUUAGCAUGGAAUAAUGAGAUAGGACUUUUUUGCUAUUUUGUUGGUUUGCGCAAAGAGGUAAUGAUUAAUAGGGACAGUUGGGGGUAUUCGUAUUCCAUUGUCAGAGGUGAAAUUCUUGGAUUUUUGGAAGACGAACUACUGCGAAAGCAUUUACCAAGGAUGUUUUCAUUAA